GCCCGGAUGGCGGAAUCGGUAGACGCAGGGGACUCAAAAUCCCCCGAUGGCAACAUCGUGCGAGUUCGAGUCUCGCUCCGGGCA
Molecule: transfer RNA, 84 nt
Filed under: Gemmatimonadota bacterium
Lineage: Bacteria; Pseudomonadati; Gemmatimonadota
Description: tRNA-Leu
Rfam family: tRNA
About the family: Transfer RNA (tRNA) molecules are approximately 80 nucleotides in length. Their secondary structure includes four short double-helical elements and three loops (D, anti-codon, and T loops). Further hydrogen bonds mediate the characteristic L-shaped molecular structure. tRNAs have two regions of fundamental functional importance: the anti-codon, which is responsible for specific mRNA codon recognition, and the 3' end, to which the tRNAs corresponding amino acid is attached (by aminoacyl-tRNA synthetases). tRNAs cope with the degeneracy of the genetic code in two manners: having more than one tRNA (with a specific anti-codon) for a particular amino acid; and 'wobble' base-pairing, i.e. permitting non-standard base-pairing at the 3rd anti-codon position.
Source: RNAcentral